This 237-nucleotide RNase P RNA is filed under the name Stenotrophomonas maltophilia. RNAcentral's name for it is "partial bacterial RNase P". It matches the Rfam family "Bacterial RNase P class A", at positions 119 to 367 of the family's 367-position model. From Rfam's summary of the family: Ribonuclease P (RNase P) is a ubiquitous endoribonuclease, found in archaea, bacteria and eukarya as well as chloroplasts and mitochondria. Its best characterised activity is the generation of mature 5'-ends of tRNAs by cleaving the 5'-leader elements of precursor-tRNAs. Cellular RNase Ps are ribonucleoproteins. The record is from RNAcentral. Lineage: Bacteria; Pseudomonadati; Pseudomonadota; Gammaproteobacteria; Lysobacterales; Lysobacteraceae.
AAAGAUACCGCCUACGUCUUCUUCGGAAGGCCGGUAAGGGUGAAAUGGUGCGGUAAGAGCGCACCGCGAGUCUGGCAACAGACCGGCACGGCAAACCCCACCUGGAGCAAGACCAAAUAGGGAUCCUUUGGCGCGGCCCGCGUUGGAUCCGGGUAGGUUGCUUGAGCGUUGCGGUGACGUAACGCCUAGAGGAAUGACUGUCCACGACAGAACCCGGCUUAUCGGCCGGCUCCGCCU